CAGUAGCCGCGGUAAUACGAAGGGGGCUAGCGUUGCUCGGAAUCACUGGGCGUAAAGGGUGCGUAGGCGGGUUUUUAAGUCAGAGGUGAAAUCCUGGAGCUCAACUCCAGAACUGCCUUUGAUACUGAAAGUCUUGAGUAUGGGAGAGGUGAGUGGAACUGCGAGUGUAGAGGUGAAAUUCGUAGAUAUUCGCAAGAACACCAGUGGCGAAGGCGGCUCACUGGCCCAUAACUGACGCUGAGGCACGAAAGCGUGGGGAGCAAACAGGAUUAGAUACCCGCGUAGUCCCUGUCUCUUAUAC
RNAcentral lists this ribosomal RNA (301 nucleotides) under uncultured bacterium. Its description in RNAcentral is "partial 16S ribosomal RNA". It matches the Rfam family "Bacterial small subunit ribosomal RNA", at positions 509 to 807 of the family's 1533-position model. The record is from RNAcentral.